Long non-coding RNA from Oreochromis niloticus (Nile tilapia), 1058 nucleotides. RefSeq lists it as uncharacterized. The transcript is spliced from 4 exons. Lineage: Eukaryota; Metazoa; Chordata; Actinopteri; Cichliformes; Cichlidae. The record is from RefSeq and is a predicted model, not a curated record.
UGGAUUCUGGAGAAUCACAGAACGGCCGGUACUCCAGGAAGGCCGGUGGGCUGGCCCACCACUCUCCACGCAUGCUUUCAACACCUGUUUUUUCCCCUGCUAAUCUCUUUCACACUCCAGUACUCUAGGGGGCAGCACUGCACCUCUAAGUUAGAUGCCAGCUGCAUUGGCUGUGGCCACCAGGCAAGGAGAAGAAGUGGAGUAGGAGGCAAAGACGGUGGAAAGAAACGAUGCAAAAUGCGUCUGUAAGUAAAAAAAGGAAAGAAAUUUGCAGACUGAGUUAAAGUGUCUGGCAGCUCAGUGGCCACGGCUUAAAAAGUCUGCACUUGAAGAGUACAAGGUCAGGAUGGUAGGGGUUGGCUGUGAUGAUGACGAAGAAGAGAACACAGAUGUACUAAACAAACAGUGCAAAGGAAUGCUCAGUCUGUUGUUAUCGGAUUCUGAAACGAUACAACCUCUUCACAGAUGCUUAUCAUAUUCUUGGCUGGGGAUACAGGCACCUCCUUACUCUGCCUGUGGGAGCAUGUGAGAGAAGUUUCUCUGUUCUCAAACACAUAAAAAGCAGAAUAAGAAGCACACAGUCGCAAGAACAUCUGGAAGCAUUCAUGCUUAUGACUACAGAGAAAGACAUCCUCAUGUCCCUCGACAAUGACUUGGUCAUAGACAGAGUUGCAGAAAAAAGCGACCUGUUGAAGAAAAUACUUAUCCUCCAACAUUGAGUAAGAUAACUGUUUUGUAUUGGUUCAGCCAGAGGGACUGCAGUAUGUUGAGACCUCCAUUUCUAUUUUAACCCUAAACAGUGAAGAAGGUGCAGCAGCGCCUCUUCUUUCUCAGGAGACUGAAGAGAUUCGGCAUGAGCCCCCGCAUCCUCAGGACCUUCUAUCGCUGUGCCAUUGAGAGCAUCCUCACUGGAUGCAUCACCACCUGGUACGGCAACAGCACCGCCUACAACCGCAAAGCUCUCCAGAGAGUGGUGCGGUGUGCUGAAAGAAUAAUUGGAGGUGAGCUUCCCUCCCUCCAGGACAUCUACAGGAAGCGGUGCCUGAGGAAAGCGGGGA